CAUGGCCCGGGAGUGCACCCAAAACCGGAGCCGCAAGAACUGGAAUCAGCUCCGGCAGAAUAUGGCCCCGCGGGCAGCUGCUCAUUAUUAUCAUGCAGAGCCAACUUUGCCAGGAGUGCCGCUUGAGUCGGCUGAUGAACCCCUGGGCGUUUUGCACGAUGUAAUGUCCAUCCAUGCUACUGACAACCGACAACCACAUUGCCAGACCGUGACUCUGGAAGGGAAAGAGGUACAGGGGCUACGUGAUUCCGGCGCUACCUUAACUUUGGUUGCCCCGCAUUUGGUGUCAGGAUCAGCACAUACCGGGGGAUCGGUAGCAGUCCGGGUAGCAGGGGG
Pelobates cultripes (western spadefoot toad) is the source of this 336-nucleotide non-coding RNA. The record is from the annotation of a GenBank genome assembly. Lineage: Eukaryota; Metazoa; Chordata; Amphibia; Anura; Pelobatidae.